UGCAGAUGCUUUUUGAGUUUGUCACUGUGUUUCCAUCUAAAAUAUUCUUGUUUUCAUUUGCAGUGACUAAUUUGAACCAGUUCAGUGGCCCUACGAACCCAGAGUAAGUGGACACGUUCAGCGCACUGCACAGUUUGCUCUGAGAAGUUCCGAGUACUGUGCUCAGGACCAUUUCAGUAAUUAUUUUGUACGGCAGAUGCCGUAAACGUAGUAAUGGCAAUGUACAAAGGAUGUUCUUACAGCCCCUCCGCCUCUGUGCUCCAAUGAACGUGUGGUGUGUUUGCAGGACGAGCUCCUUGCCAACCUGCGCUGCAGCACCUGUAGCUGCUGAAGAUCAGUUUGGAUAUCAAAAUGUUGCAUGUAAGUGACUAGUAUGUAUAUAAAGGUGAACAUCAUGAAUAGGAGUUGGAGUCUGGGGGACAGCAGGUAGUGUAGUGGUUAGAGCUGCUGUUGCCUGUGCACCCAGCGGUUUGAAUCCCACCUUGAGCAAAGUACUUACCCUGAAUUGUUCCAAUAAAAUAACCCAGCUGUAUAGAUGGGCAAAUACUUGUAAGCUGCUCUGGAGAAAAGUGUCACGUAAACAAGUCAUUUAAUUUGACGACAGUGUGUAUGGAUGUGUAUGUUCCCAUGUCCACAGUAACAGUGCUGUAUUGACACUCUAUCAGUGUGAGUCACACAGUGUUUCUGUGGCCCUGCUGUGUGCGACGGGUUCCCUCGGAGAUGUCACUAAUAUUCCUGCUUGUGUUCUCUUUCAGUUCAUAACGGCAGCCCCACGUACGUGUAAGUAUUGGCGCUCACCUGGGUCACUGCACCUCUGUGGCUCCUUUACAAGCAACCUUCCAGAAAAGGGCUUCAGGGGCAACUUGAGCAUGUUUAGUAAGAAAGGUCGUCGUGGAAAGACGAAUUCAUGCCUGCGGAACGUCACAAUGCACCUCUGCGCUGUUAGCCACCCACCUUCUUGGUUCCAUUUGAAGGAUUUUGUACAAAGUUGUUUACAACGCAGCAGCCCCCCCAGCAUCAUAAGGUCACAGAAAGAUACGUGUCUGAAAACAAUGCAAAACGUAAAUGUGCUUGAUUGGCGGUGUUCACAUGUGUCAGUGUGUCGUCAACUGAGGGCUCUUUGUGUUAAACACACAAUAUCUGUGUGCAGAGACCCCAUUGCUACGCUGCUCUACCAGAAUUUACCGGAGCCCUCGAAAGAUUCAGCUGAAUAUGAAAAUGUAUUUCCCACCGUGGACCCCCUGCUCACACAGGACUCAGACGGCUCCGACUACGAGAACUCUCAAUUCCUCCAGGAGCAUCGGAGCACGGGUUCGUACCCCUCUAACGGUCACUCGUGUUUUCUCUGCGCCAGCAGUGCUGUGAGCUCAACCGUGCUAUUUCUUUCCAGGUGUGUGCGACAGCGACACCGAUGA
RNAcentral lists this long non-coding RNA (1415 nucleotides) under Scleropages formosus (Asian bonytongue). RNAcentral describes it as "lncRNA (ENSSFOG00015024841.1)". Lineage: Eukaryota; Metazoa; Chordata; Actinopteri; Osteoglossiformes; Osteoglossidae. The record is from RNAcentral.